AAAUAAGAAACAAUUAUUGUAGUUAGUUUCGACCUAAAAUUUAGAUGGCACCAUCCUUAUUUU
RNAcentral lists this transfer RNA (63 nucleotides) under Neolucanus maximus. RNAcentral describes it as "tRNA-Arg". The record is from RNAcentral. Lineage: Eukaryota; Metazoa; Arthropoda; Insecta; Coleoptera; Lucanidae.